Strongylocentrotus purpuratus (purple sea urchin) is the source of this 2519-nucleotide long non-coding RNA. RefSeq lists it as uncharacterized. The transcript has 4 exons. The record is from RefSeq and is a predicted model, not a curated record. Lineage: Eukaryota; Metazoa; Echinodermata; Echinoidea; Camarodonta; Strongylocentrotidae.
AAAUUAAAUAAUGAAUAAAAUAUAAAUAUUGGUGUAAAUAAUAAGUCUACAAACGGCGCCUCAUAGUCGUCCAGGUGCUUACUUGGCUAUCCAACAACAAGCAAAGAGCGCGCUGGAUGAAAUGACCUUAUUUCUAGAGUCGUAAGUAAGGUGACCACGUUCACCACCCAAUCUGUAACAAGCCAUGUAUUGAAUCAGCAAUGGUGAUAUUUUGUUGGUUUUUGGCAAUGAAACAGCAUCGUUAUUUCAAAUGGUUCGUGCUCUGAAAGCACUGCUUUCGUAUCGGCUCUGCGCAGGACAGUGUCUAUACCGGUACCGUACUUCUCCCAGGCCAGCCGCCCUCCCGACGUUCAAUCCUCCUUCGCGGUGGUGAGGAAAAACAAGCGAGCACAUGUGAGCCACGAUAUCAAUAUGCUGCAUGUACUUUGUGUAUCUUCAUCACCUUGAAGCAGCAUUUACACUGGAAGAAGAAGAAGAGCUGAUAAGAAACCUACAAGGCAAGAUGAGAAACUUCUUGGGUCUCACGAGUCUCUACUGUUGCCAUACUUAUGAGGACACAGGAGAAAUUUGUCUGGUUCAAGGAAGGCAUGGUGGCAGCUGAGCUGGGACUCGAUCAUGAUGUGGAGAUGGAGGUGUCUUGUGUUUCUUAUUACAGAUCCAUCGAUUGAAAGAUAGAGUACUCACUCCUGGGCAUGCCUGCAUCAUUCAGAGUCCGGAAUCAACUGCUGGCCUGUACAAUAUACUGUAACAGCUCUCUGAUCCCUGGUGCGUAGUCCUCAUGGAUUAUCCAGCAAACCCUUGUCACGCAUGUAUCUUUGUUACCUACAGUUAUCUGGACAUGAUGAUUUUGAAGAGCUGCAUUGCUGCAAACCCAACGUUGCCCCAAGGAGUGAGUUAGCUACAUCCACUUGAGGAACACAGAAUGAGGAUCACAACUAUUUACUGCAUGCAGAAAACAUUGGCAAUGGCAGCAGGACAGUGCAUCCAUAGUCACUCCUCACAUUGUUUCCAGAAUGAGGAUCACAAGAGAGGUUUGGCUGUCCUGUUUAUAUCAUGGCCAUGACUGAUGGUUGCAAAGUUGUGUCGAUGAGUCUGUAUCUGCAUUUCCAAAUCACAUUUAGAAACGUUUGCAUUGUUUUGUAGGGUUUGACUGAGUCCUAAUAUGACUGCUAGAUUUAAUGGAAACUUUUGUGGGUAUGUUUUCUGAUCUUUACAGAGGUAAAACGUUUAGUGGUAUGUUUCAAUCCAGCAUUGAUAAUCUAAGGAAUUGCUCACAAAAAUGAAAUAUUUGAGCAUAUCGAUAAUAAAAGAAGAUGCAAUGAAAUUUGUUACAAGACAACAUCUAGCUCUAGAGGGUGACUCUAUGCUCGAUAAUGAAAAAUAAUAACUUUUGAUUAGAAUAUUAGCUUAAAUUAUAAAUGAUUGUCUAUGCGUCUAAACAUUUGCUCCUCAAAUGGAUUGUGUUUUAAAAAAAAAAAUUGCACUGGAGCAGUUGAACCCCUCCCUCCCCCCCACAAAAAGGAAACCAAUGAUAAUGGUAUUAUGUUUAGAAGUACUGAUAAGUUUUUAUUUACUCUGAUUCUGGUUUGUGUGUUGAAUGUCUUUGUAUGAUUGCAGUUUGUUUGUGUAUGACUAUGUGAUAUGAUCUGAUUACUAAAUAAUUACCAGCUAGCCUUACUCAAAGCCUGGACAUGUUGAAUUAGAUCUAAAUGGACAAGCAAAUUUUUACUGUUUUUUUAAAAACCUAGUUGGAAAAAAAUACAUCUUCUGCAGAAAUGAUUCAGUGCCAAAAACAGACUAUAUAAUGUGAUAUAUCGAAAAAAUUUAGCUCUAUGUUCCAAUGAAAGCCAAUUUUGUUGAAAAGUGUGAUGCUAUCCAUCCGAAACAUUAUGACAUGUAGUACAUCUUGUGGACAGUCUUCUCCUUAGUUGAAUUUGUUCUCAAUAACUCCAUCCAUUUGUGAAGUUGACAGUAACCUUUCAAGCAUACAAAUCACCUAUAUGUAUUGAAAUACGGGUACACUUGCUCCCGAGUUCAUAAAAACAUGAAACUAGCAAACCUUUUCUUCAGGUUUUGAAAAUGUUUGCCUACUAAUUAAAACUGAAUCUCUCGGAAACCAGCUACCCCCACAGGCCUUUACUAAAGAAAAAUAUGAGUAUCCUGCUGGCGAAGACAUGGUCAUUAUCUGCAACCUCAUAAGUAUUCAUAUGUCAGUCAUUAGGCCAUUCAUCAAGGCAUGCGCGCUUCGCUUCUCUCUAUACUUCUGUUUGUGAUGAGAUUUGUGCACAAAUUAGAUUAAAUUGAAGUUAAAAGAAAUAUGUACAUGUAAGUAUUAUCUUAAAGAACUAGGAGCAUAUUUAGGAUAAUUGGAAAUUCAAUAUGAUUUCAAGUUUCACACUUGGCGGAAUAUAUUCGUGAAAUAUGAUGAUUGGUUCGCUCAGACUAAGAUGGUUAAAAAGUAUAGUAGGCCUAUAAAACACCAGCUUUAAAUUGGAUUAGUCUUUAAAAAAAAAAAAAAA